Trachymyrmex septentrionalis is the source of this 981-nucleotide long non-coding RNA. RefSeq lists it as uncharacterized. The record is from RefSeq and is a predicted model, not a curated record. Lineage: Eukaryota; Metazoa; Arthropoda; Insecta; Hymenoptera; Formicidae. The transcript has 3 exons.
GCGUCGCGACGGAAAGUAAACAUCUUUUGAUGGACGAACUACGAACACGAACGCGGCGCGAAUAAAUCUCGCGCUAAUCCCGUGUUAAUGAAAAGGUCGGUUAUCAAACGUACAAGAUGUAGGUCAGGCUCUGACUUCGUGAGGAUGUCAUGGCCUGGCAGUUUUGAAGAUUAAUUACGACGUCAAGGUCUUACAAUGAGGGAUUGCUCGUUAUGUAUUCGCGAGAUGUGUCGAAAUAUUAAAAAAAUCGUUGUUGAAAGUACCAUAAAAUAGGAACUUUGGCUGAAAUAAUAUCCAGAGAAUCCUGGCUACACACAUCUCACAGUUCACUUUAUGAUAGAUGAAAAUUAAUUGAUAAAAACUGACUGAUGAAAAGUGUAUCAUCAAACGCAUUGUGUUUCGCCAAAAGCGUCUGUUAAUCUACGGACGGGAGUUGAUUUCAGAAGAGAAUGUGCACGACACACGUUAGUUUCAUAAUCGCGUAUGCGUCAACAUCACGACGUAAUCCCCGAUGCCGCCCGCAUGUAAUUCACUUCUCGGAGAGAUCGGUAUUGCGAUACCGGCAGCAAAGUGCGGUGCCAGGCGUGUCCGCAAUUUGCCGAUAGUCAUCAGUUGGCAAGUGCUAACGAGUGUCCCAUAACAAUAAUUAAACGAUUAUCCCGUCGUUACGAUUGCGACGACGAGAACAAUCUGUUUUGUGUGUUAGUGAGAUUUCGGUAUCGCGUCGAGCAUAUGAUCGACUGGAGCAUACGAUAAACACAGAAUUUAAUUAAUUAUCGGAGAUCUUAAAACGAAUACGGGAUAGAUCUCGUGGCAUAGAUCCGUUUACAAUGAAAUCAAAGACGGAGCAUGCAGAUUGUCAUCGCUAUAUUUACUUACAACGUAUGCAGCACUGGCAUUUGAUUGUCGAGCAUGAUUUAUGUAUUAAACCGUAUUAACAUAAACGCGAGUUUUAAUAAAACUUUAAAAUAUUAUUUGUAC